RNAcentral lists this ribosomal RNA (811 nucleotides) under uncultured crenarchaeote. RNAcentral's name for it is "bacterial SSU rRNA". It matches the Rfam family "Archaeal small subunit ribosomal RNA", at positions 53 to 872 of the family's 1478-position model. The record is from RNAcentral. Lineage: Archaea; Thermoproteati; Thermoproteota.
GCGAGUCAACGUAGCAAUACGUGGCACACGGCUCAGUAACACGUAGUCAACAUAACCAGAGGACGUGGAUAAACUCGGGAAACUGAGGCUAAACCGCGAUAGACCAAGAUACCUGGAAUGGUUUUUGAUCAAAAUCUAUAUGGCCUUUGGAUUGGACUGCGACCGAUCAGGCUGUUGGUGAGGUAAUGGCCCACCAAACCUGUAACCGGUACGGGCUCUGAGAGGAGGAGCCCGGAGAUGGGUACUGAGACAAGGACCCAGGCCCUAUGGGGCGCAGCAGGCGCGAAACCUCUGCAAUAGGCGAAAGCCUGACAGGGUUAUUCUGAGUGACUUUCGCUAAGAAAGUCUUUUGACAUCUCUAAAAAUGGUGUAGAAUAAGGGGUGGGCAAGUCUGGUGUCAGCCGCCGCGGUAAUACCAGCACCCCGAGUGGUCGGGACGUUUAUUGGGCCUAAAGCAUCCGUAGCCGGUUCUACAAGUCUUCCGUUAAAUCCACCUGCUUAACAGAUGGGCUGCGGAAGAUACUAUGGAGCUAGGAGGCGGGAGAGGCAAGCGGUACUCGAUGGGUAGGGGUAAAAUCCGUUGAUCCAUUGAAGACCACCAGUGGCGAAGGCGGCUUGCCAGAACGCGCUCGACGGUGAGGGAUGAAAGCUGGGGGAGCAAACCGGAUUAGAUACCCGGGUAGUCCCAGCUGUAAACGAUGCAGACUCGGUGAUGGACUAGCUUAAUGCUAGUCCAGUGCCGCAGGGAAGCCGUUAAGUCUGCCGCCUGGGUAGUACGGUCGCAAGACUGAAACUUAAAGGAAUUGGCGGG